AGUUUAAUAGUCUAUGCCAACUCUUUUAUUUUUGGGGCAAUUGCUUAUACGCUCCUGAAAAGUUUCCGACUUUUCUAUUUAUUUCUCUUAAAAGACUAAUAUUGAAAAUAUCCUUUCUACGUUCCAAUAUAUUUCUAAUAUACCCUGGAGUUAAAAUCUGUUAAUUAACUCUGUUAUCUCUGUAAAAUUAUUAUUUUGCCCUUUCAAAUAUACCCUUCCACCAUCACUGACUUUCUUAUUUGUCCUUAAAGUCAGGGGCACAAAAAGUAUUUUGACUUUUGAUCUUUUCCAAUAUACCCCUCUACCGUCACCAACAUUUCUUAUUUGCCCUUAAGUUAAGGGCAAAAUUGGCAUUUUAAUUUUUUUUAACUGUGUUAGAUAUUUAACUCACGUUUAACCCAAGUUAACUUAACAAGAGAUAACUGUGCGGGUAUUUUGCAAUAAUGAUGGAACAUAUGAGAAAUAUUUUAGAAAGAAAAAAAAGUAGGGGUAAAUGGGAUCUUUUCAAACGUACGAGAAGUAUAUAGACAAUUAUCCUUUUAUUUUUUAACUUAAUAUAUCUAAAACAAUUGUUUAUAUAAUUUUUUAAUAUCAACAUUUUCACCUCUCUCUCUCUCUCUCUCUCU
Molecule: long non-coding RNA, 626 nt
Filed under: Ananas comosus (pineapple)
Lineage: Eukaryota; Viridiplantae; Streptophyta; Magnoliopsida; Poales; Bromeliaceae
Description: long non-coding RNA (ACOM_LNC041328)
Source: RNAcentral